UUGUUAAGAAAACAAUUCGUGCCAUUUAUUACGAAAGCUACUUCAACUGAUAGAAAAACUCGUGCAGAUGAUUCUAGCCAGGUGCCAAAGACAAAAUUCGAUACCAAAGCAUCUGACCUUCUUACCCGCGAUUUAAAGCCCACUGGUGACGUAGGCUCAAUACAGAAAUCUUUGACUCAAACAUCUUGUGACGACCAGCGGUGGGAAAGACUGAGAUUUAUGAAAGUUUAAUUCCAAAACAACUCUUUGAUGAUUUAUCGGCCGAACUCAUUAAAGAAGGAGCCAGACA
Molecule: long non-coding RNA, 289 nt
Organism: Dendronephthya gigantea
Lineage: Eukaryota; Metazoa; Cnidaria; Anthozoa; Malacalcyonacea; Nephtheidae
Exons: 3
Source: RefSeq, a predicted model, not a curated record